This is a small nucleolar RNA of Dioscorea cayenensis subsp. rotundata (Guinea yam), 107 nucleotides long. The record is from RefSeq and is a predicted model, not a curated record. NCBI's taxonomy places the organism in Eukaryota, Viridiplantae, Streptophyta, Magnoliopsida, Dioscoreales, Dioscoreaceae.
AAACCGUGUUACGGACACUUCCGUAAAAGGUCCUUGAAUCACUCCCAUGUCUCAAACAAUGAUUCGAGCUCCAUCUGUAUGAAUGAGGAUAUCUCAUUACGAAGCCU